Molecule: long non-coding RNA, 1217 nt
Filed under: Medicago truncatula (barrel medic)
Lineage: Eukaryota; Viridiplantae; Streptophyta; Magnoliopsida; Fabales; Fabaceae
Description: long non-coding RNA (MTRU_LNC008802)
Source: RNAcentral
CUUAAAAUCGCUGUUAUUUUAGAUUCUACCAGGGGCUGUCUUAAGUAAUUAGGAUUACCUGUUAGCAUAUUUGAAUUCUGCUGUUGUUUUUUCGAUCUUCAAGUUUCUGUCGAGUGCAAUUCGAAUUCUGCUAAAGCCCGGUCCUCGUAAUUUGAAUUACGCAGGUAAAAUGUCUAUAAAAAUAGAUUUUUAUCUCGUUAUUCGCUUGUACCAAAAGAGGAUAUUCUUAGGAAACUUAAAGGCUAAGGUUGGUGUCUUUCGGGAGAGGGAAAACAGAGAACAUCAGGGCUCUUGUGUUGAAUGUUUCUUGUGAGGUUCUUUGGGUGCGAGACAAAAUCAACAGGGGAACUUAAAAGGGGCUUUUCGGUUGAGGGCUUUGUGGUGAGAUUUUGUGGAACACCCUAUAUUAUAGUCUAGAACAUAAUUAAUACAAAGUGUCUUAUAAUAGUACUAGAUAGUCAUAAGAAAUCUGUCCAAAGGUACAUAAACAGUCUUAUACACUUAACUUAUAGUCACAUACAAGGUACAAGAAUGUAGAUACAAGCAAAAUGGUCUUAGCUUAUGUUGUGUAUGUCAGAAUCACGUCGACCCACCGUGAUUUUUCAAAAACUACACUUUGUAGCUUCUACAAAAUCACGGUGAUUCAGACAUACCUCUUGUGAUACCAAACACACUCUUAGUUACCAACACUGCAAAUAAAACAUAUAUAAAUUCCCAAAAGUUAAAACAUCUUCAAAUUUUCUUGUCCUUACUAUUGCCUUCCCAUUCAUCCGUAAAACAAAAUUAUAAAAGGUGAUUCGUAAUACAAUCUCUGGACAUAACUCAAGUUUACAUAUACAUAUAUAAAUUUAUGUCUUUUUCGUGCAUGCUGAAAUUAUGUUGCAUAUGAACCAAGAACAUCCAACUCCUUAUCUCUCAACUCAAACCAGUUUAAAUGUUAGUAUUAGUACCACCACAAUGCAUCAUGAAUUAGGGAUUCAAUUUCACUAGUUUGAUAUCAUUCUACUCAAUCUAUCCUAUACGCAUAACCUAAUUCCUAAUAACGAACCAUAGCUUACUAAAGAACUCACCAUAAAUUUGAAGAGGGCGCUGAUUGCAUGCAACUUCUUCUCUUCACUUCCUUGCACUCUAUCUUAUGUUAUGCUCGUAGAGAGAGUAGGAGAGUUGAAGAAAAUGCGUUAUUUGACCUUUGGGUUCACAAUUACCCUUAAAUAGAG